UGUCCAGACUCCUACGGGAGGCAGCAGUGGGGAAUAUUGCACAAUGGGGGAAACCCUGAUGCAGCGACGCCGCGUGAGCGAUGAAGUAUUUCGGUAUGUAAGGCUCUAUCAGCAGGGAAGAAAAUGACGGUACCUGAAGAAGAAGCCCCGGCUAACUACGUGCCAGCAGCCGCGGUAAUACGUAGGGGGCAAGCGUUAUCCGGAUUUACUGGGUGUAAAGGGGGCGCAGACGGCGAUGCAAGCCAGGAGUGAAAGCCCGGGGCCCAACCCCGGGACUGCUCUUGGAACUGCGUGGCUGGAGUGCAGGAGGGGCAGGCGGAAUUCCUGGUGUAGCGGUGAAAUGCGUAGAUAUCAGGAGGAACACCAGUGGCGAAGGCGGCUUGCUGGACAGUAACUGACGUUGAGGCUCGAAAGCGUGGGGAGCAAACAGGAUUAGAUACCCCCGUACG
Molecule: ribosomal RNA, 449 nt
Filed under: uncultured bacterium
Lineage: Bacteria
Description: bacterial SSU rRNA
Rfam family: Bacterial small subunit ribosomal RNA
Source: RNAcentral